This 253-nucleotide ribosomal RNA is filed under the name uncultured bacterium. RNAcentral describes it as "partial 16S ribosomal RNA". It matches the Rfam family "Bacterial small subunit ribosomal RNA", at positions 524 to 776 of the family's 1533-position model. The record is from RNAcentral.
UACGUAGGGGGCUAGCGUUGUCCGGAAUCAUUGGGCGUAAAGAGCGCGUAGGCGGCUAGAUAAGUCCGGUGUGAAAGUCACAGGCUCAACCUGUGAAUGCCGCUGGAAACUGUCUGGCUAGAGUCCGGAAGGGGCGAGUGGAAUUCCUGGUGUAGCGGUGAAAUGCGCAGAUAUCAGGAGGAACACCAAUGGCGAAGGCAGCUCGCUGGGACGGUACUGACGCUGAGGCGCGAAAGCUAGGGGAGCAAACGGG